UCAUGGCUGCCAUCCCUUCCCAGAGCCGUCUGCCAGCAACUGGUCGAGAGACUGUCGAGCGGUACACGCGUAUGGACGUUCUUGG
Molecule: non-coding RNA, 85 nt
Filed under: Platyophrya macrostoma
Lineage: Eukaryota; Ciliophora; Colpodea; Cyrtolophosidida; Platyophryidae
Source: RNAcentral